Molecule: long non-coding RNA, 1094 nt
Organism: Halichondria panicea
Lineage: Eukaryota; Metazoa; Porifera; Demospongiae; Suberitida; Halichondriidae
Exons: 5
Source: RefSeq, a predicted model, not a curated record
UACCCAGUGUACCUACCGUGGACUCCACACUUGCCUUCACUUGUUCUGAAGAUAAUCAGAUAGUAACCUCUAUCUGUGGCAAUGAUGGACGAUGGAAUCCUGACCCUGAGGAGUUCUUGUGUCCAACAAUGAAAUCCCCAGUGACCUGCCCAGUUCCCGGGUCCCCCUCUAUGGGCAUUAUGAACACUAGUGGUCAGUCUUACAUAGAAGGGUCACAGGUCAUAUCAGUGCAAUAAUGAACACUUUCCCACGGGUAUUCUGACUGCAAUUUGCACAAGAGAUGGACAAAAUAGAGUGUGGGAUCCUGAUCCAAGUGCUGUGGUGUGCAGGGCUUUGCCAGUCAACUGCACUGUCCCUGAGGAGCCAUCCAACGGCACUAUAGUGAACUAUGAGAGGUUGAAUGAGACAGUGUUGGAGGGAAUAGUGCUGACUUACCAGUGUGACAAUGGACUCUCAUUGAUAGGACCCAACUCCAUCAUUUGCACUAAUGCUGGAGUCUGGAACCUUGAGCCUAUAGCACCAUCAUGUGUGUGUCCCCAAAAACUGUCCGUAGCAGCCAACUAUCAGACGAUAAAGUUCCAAAAGUCGCAGCUGGUCCAGUAUACAAGGAAGUCGGUCUAGCAACAGCGCAACGAACACAAGACAUUCAAGUGGAGUCCAAUGAAGCUUAUGAACAAAUGGCAAAGCAAAACAUUGAGUUGCAGUCAAACCAGGCUUAUGGAGAACUCAAAUAUACAGCUUAAUAUAUUGAACUGAACUACUUGUUUGUUGAUUCAAUAUGGUAUAAGAUAGCAAUCAUUCCCAUGGGUAUUCUGACUGCCACUAGCACAACAGAUGGACAAAAUGGAGUACGAGAGCCUGAUCUCAGUACUAUACAUAGUGCUGUUACUUUAUUAACUGCGUGCUGUCCUACAAGGUCAACUGCACUGCCCCUGAGGAGCCAAGCCAUCAGCAGCCAGGGUGCUUUUCAUUAUUUAUAGUUGAGGGUGUAUUUUGUGCAAACACUGUUGUGUUUGAGUUUUGUGAUGGUCUCCUACUGAAUGUGUGGGUGGAAGUAUGCAAAAUAAUAUUAUUUUUCUGAUCUUACACUAAUU